UGCGAACGCUGGCGGCAGGCUUAACACAUGCAAGUCGAGCGGGCAUCCUUGUGGUGUCAGCGGCAGACGGGUGAGUAACGCGUGGGAACGUGCCCUUCGGUUCGGAAUAACUCAGGGAAACUUGAGCUAAUACCGGAUACGUGCGAGAGCAGAAAGGUUUAUCUGCCGAAGGAUCGGCCCGCGUCUGAUUAGCUAGUUGGUGAGGUUACGGCUCACCAAGGCGACGAUCAGUAGCUGGUCUGAGAGGAUGAUCAGCCACACUGGGACUGAGACACGGCCCAGACUCCUACGGGAGGCAGCAGUGGGGAAUAUUGGACAAUGGGGGCAACACUGAUCCAGCCAUGCCGCGUGAGUGAUGACGGCCUUAGGGUUGUAAAGCUCUUUUCUCCGGGACGAUAAUGACGGUACCGGAGGAAUAAGCCCCGGCUAACUUCGUG
RNAcentral lists this ribosomal RNA (437 nucleotides) under uncultured bacterium. RNAcentral's name for it is "partial 16S ribosomal RNA". It matches the Rfam family "Bacterial small subunit ribosomal RNA", at positions 29 to 507 of the family's 1533-position model. The record is from RNAcentral.